Molecule: ribosomal RNA, 643 nt
Filed under: Hepatozoon canis
Lineage: Eukaryota; Apicomplexa; Hepatozoidae
Description: SSU rRNA
Rfam family: Eukaryotic small subunit ribosomal RNA
Source: RNAcentral
AUCUCAACUUUAUUAGAAGAGACGCAUUUAUUAGAUAAAAAGCCAGUUCAUGCUUUUACAGUAUGAAAAUUGGUGAUUUAUAAUAACUUAGCAAAUCGCAAAGUGAAAACAGGCGAUAAAUCAUUCAAGUUUCUGACCUAUCAGCUUUCGACGGUAUGGUAUUGGCUUACCGUGGCAGUGACGGUUAACGGGGGAUUAGGGUUCGAUUCCGGAGAGGGAGCCUGAGAAACGGCUACCACAUCUAAGGAAGGCAGCAGGCGCGCAAAUUACCCAAUUCUAACAGUUUGAGAGAGGUAGUAACAAGAAAUAACAAUACAAGGCAGUUAAAAUGCUUUGUAAUUGGAAUGAUAGAAAUUUAAACCCUUUUUAAAGUAUCAAUUGGAGGGCAAGUCUGGUGCCAGCAGCCGCGGUAAUUCCAGCUCCAAUAGCGUAUAUUAAAAUUGUUGCAGUUAAAAAGCUCGUAGUUGAAGUUCUGCUAAAAGUAACCGGUCUGCUUUUAAUAAAAGUGGUAUCUUGGUAUGUAUUUAGCAAUGAUGUCCUUUGAAGUGUUUUUUACUUUAUUGUAAUAAAGCAUAUUCAGGACUUUUACUUUGAGAAAAUUAGAGUGUUUCUAGCAGGCUGACGCUUUGAAUACUGCAGCAUG